UUUUAAACCCUGUUCUAGUCCUCGCCUUCACAACCUCCUCCGGCAAGGAGUUCCACAGGUUGACUGCACUGUGUGUAACUCCCGGGCUUUCUGCUCUUGAUUACAGGUGUCCGGUCGCACAGCCCCCACUGCAGGCAGCCUUCCACCCCAGCGCCCUUCCCACCCUGCCCCCGCCAGCCUGUCCCUUUCUGCUCCUUCUUACGCUGGCUUGGUCGACCCGCCUCCUAUUCAGGAGCAGCCAAUCCAGCGCAAGACUGGCCAAAGGUGAGAGAGGGGAUGUUCUAGCCCCGCACCCCCCCCUUCCAGGAGUGGCCCCCCUGGGAUGGGAUUUCCCGUCCCUUCGCCCCCAGCCAGGGAAAUGGGAAAAAUGUAGUAUUGAAAGGGGGUGGAUGCAAACACAGCCCAAGAGGGGGUGUGUGUGUGUGUGUGUGUGUGUGUGUGUGUGUGUGUGUACGAGGGCUUGUACAACACAUGACUCUAGGGCAAUUUUUGGGCCUCAAGCGGAAGGGGCGGGGCCAGGAUGCUUGCCUACCCCUGCUCUGUGGGGUGUGUGUGUGGGGGGGGAAAUGCACAUCUGAGGGUUUGUAUAAUACCUGGCAUUGAGGGGUGGCCAGAGGGUUUUCUUUAUCAGCCCUGCUUUGGGCUGGCUGCCGGCAGCUCUCCUAGGCGGCAAACUCGUCCGUGAGUUAAUGGGACCGACCCAAACCAGCUUUAGGCAUAGACAGGAACAGCGUUUGCAUGAGGGUAAACCCAGCUCUGGCUACAGCAGCCUGGUCAACAAGGCCUCCAUCAGGGCCCAGCUCCCAUCUGGAUGCAGCAGCCUGGCCCUGACCCCAUGGUCCGUCCCCCAUCUGGCUGCAGGAAGGGCUGACACUGACCUUCCGUCCUGCUGCUGUGGGGGUAGGAGGGGAGGCCUGAAUCCCCCCCACUCACCCCCAACCCUCUGCCCUGAGCCCCCCGCACUCCACCCCACACUUACAACAGUACCUGUAAGAAAUUAAUCGCAACUCUUCCCCCUGCUGUAACGCCCCUCCCAAGGGGGGCCGGGUUGUGAUAGGACAGUGCCUGUAAGAAACUGAAGUUACUUUCUCCCGUUAUUGUCUUGGCAGGGUCAUUUGUGUUAAUUUGUUAGGAGCCGCAGCUUAAUUCAGCUGCUAUUGAAGGCAAUGAGAGUUUGAAUGCAGUAGUAGCCCGUCUGGUCUGUGUGCUCUGUGGUUGGUUUGCAUUUGUCGUCUUUUGGGUUGUUGUUUUUUUUGUUGUUGUUUAAAGGACCGAUUUUUUUUUUUUUUCCUUUCUUUUCUUUAAAGGCCUUGAAAUCCAGAGGCCCAGUUUUUCAGCCUUUUGCACGUGUCAGUGAGAGAGGCUAAUCCCCAGCAAAACACCCAAGCCUGGAAGCUUUGCUGGAGGACAGAUGGAGGGGCAGGCCCAGAUUCUGGGUUGGGGCAGGAUUAGCGCAUGGCAUGAUGGGUCCGGUCUAGCUUUACUUGGCCCUGCCCAUGUGCUGGGGGGCUGGACAGGAUGUCCUCUUGGGUUCUGUGCCCUCACAUCCUUCCUGGGGCUUGCAAAUGUAGAGGGCUUGUCACAGAUUCAUGGAAUCCCAGGGUCGGAAGAGACCUCAGGAGUCAUCAAGUCCAGCCCCCUGCCCAAAGCAGGACCAACCCCGACUCCAUCAUCCCAGCCAGGGCUUGGUCAAGCCGGGACUUAAAAAUCUCUGGGGAUGAGGCAGCCCUGCGUGAAAGCUGACGCCGUAGAUUCCCUCUGCCGUUCCGCUAAGCUAGACCCGGCCCAUUGGCUGUGGGCGUAGAUUUUCCACGCAGCCCUCCGGGUGCGUUCUGAGGGGCGUGCGAAUAAGACCAGUCACAAGGGGCCUUGGCCUGGGAUCCCAGUCUGGGGCGAGUCCAACUCCUCUCUCGCCUUCGGCAGUUUUGGUCCUGGCUGUCACCCCUUCCCGGGCGCUGGCUGAUUCUCUGGGGUCUCUCUCUCUGGCUGGUGCUGACUUGCUCAUUUCUCCUCCCCGGCCUCGCUCUGCUCCGCGUUGCCCUGGCCCUUAGCCGCAGGCCUUCUUACAGGCUGGGGCCUCCCUUGGGCACGGGGGCCGCCCCCUCGUUAGAGACACUGGCGGGGGCAAACCUCCUGGGUACCCACCUGGCGUGGAAGGGGCUGUAUGAAUAGCCAGCAGGCAGUGAUGCCGUAAACGUGACCGGGGCUCAUCCAGAGCCUGCCCCUCCACGGGCCGAGACGCCGGUGCCGCCCCCAAAGGGCCAGCAGCGCGUCCCUGGGUGUGUCUCAUGCCCCCGCCACAGCGACGAGCUGCCAACUCAGAGAGCCUGACUCCAGCCCACACCCUUGGGGGGCCGUGUCUCCUGUACGUGGCCCUGGGGCCAGCUUGUGCGCUGCCGUCUCCCUUGCCUCCGUCUCGCCCCUUCUCGCUCCCCCGGGUCUGGCAGGACCCCAGAAGCUCAGGGAUCGCAGGCCACUCCGAGGCCCUGGCAGAUUUCCCUAUUCUGAAGUUGGAAAUUAACAUGCCUCUUCCGGAGAAGGGGCCAAUGUAGACGUAGCCGUUGUGUUUGCUGUGACCUGAACGAGGAAACCCACCAGCUUCGUGUGUACCACAGCGGCCCUGCCACAGACCAGCCGUUCUCCCUUGGCACGCUGACCUCGGCAGGAUGGUACAGCCCAAAGCUCCUGUGGUCUCCAGCUAUCAGCGCCUGCAGAAUGACCUGGGUCCCCAGGCAGCCUGGGUCCGACUCGGCCUCUUCCAGCCCACCACCAGAGAGACCUGCCUCUGCACCGCCAUGGGAAACAGGCAGGAGCCCUCACGACUCAGCACAGAGCAGAGAAUCCCAUCGCAGAGUUCUGACUGACCACAGGACCCUUGUGCCACCACCGGGAAAGAUGUUGGGGGUGAGCAGGGAGAGGACCCGUUGCAGUUCCUGUCCCAUGUGCACCCUACUCGAGCUUCAGCCAAGUGCGAGUCUUGCUUGUGUUCCCACAGAACAUCGUGGCUUCCUUGUCCCAUGGGAAGCGUGCCAGCAUCCUGCAGGAGCUGGCAAACAGGAAAGCAGUGAGUAAUCAUGCCAGGCUGGGGCCUGUCUUAUUAAUCACUGUGUAGUAGCAAGACUCUAGUAUUAAUGCUGUGAAGAGGGGGGAAAAUGACUUGGGAAAAUGACUCCUCCAGCCCCACCACCCUACAAUCAAGUGUGCUAUUCCCAAUGCAAAACGCUGUCCUUGAGGUACUCAGUCCAUGCUGAUUUAGUGACUUUCAUACCUCCCUUGCAUGAGUGUAAUAACUUAAUUUGCUAAAGGAGGUUAAGCCACUGUCUGUUCAGGUCAACACAGGGCAGCACUUGGAACUAGCAGGAGCACAGAGGCCAGCUUUUUGAGAACAGACUCCAUUGCACUAAUAAGCAUCAGUGAUAAGGUAGGUGCUGAGGUUUUAUUUUUUUUAAAAAGAUGCCACUUGUGGGUGCUGAGGGGGGGGAAGCUGUUCAGUUGUUUCCAAGCACCAGGCUGAUUUUUUUCUCCAUCCCAUGGAGUUGGUUGGCAAGAGGGGCAUCUGCGGUUGUCCAUAUGGCUGAUGGUAGGCAGGAUGAAGAACUUAGCUUGCGUGACAAACAGGUGAGCACCAUGUUAGGGUUAGCGGAGGGGUGCAGGAAUCCUUUGAAAGGAAUUGGCACUUGGCUGUAAGAUUUCCUCACCUUUAAUAUUAUAUGGAGGCAGACUCCACUUGUGUAGAAAUCUGUCUAAGAAAGCAGGGUACUGCCACUUUGAGCACGUGACAUGCAGUGUUUAGUGUUUAGGAAACCACUGUUAAGUCUUAUCUAAAGAUGAUUGCUAGGAUGAUGUCUCUGUACGGUAAGAACAGUGAUGCUUACAGAAUCAGCACCAGCAAGGAACAGCAGUAGAGGUUAAUGAUAAGGGCUUUUAUUGAAGAGAGUACAGGUGGGUUCCUACACUAGAGGCAAAGUUAGUCACAUUGCAGUUGUAAAGCAAACAGCCACAAAACACCACCACCACAAAUAGCAGAAGCAUGCACAGGAAGGAACAGAUCCUACUACUUCAGAACAGCAGAGCACAAGAGAAGAUACUUGCUACAAAGGCCAGAAACACUGGUUAGUGCACAACCACUACAGGAAGUGGCAUUAGCAAACUGAAAAAAGAUACUAACAGGAACUGCCAGUUUAGAUUUUGAAAAUUACACAAUACAUAAUUCCCUACUUCAGAUAAAAGUAGAGGUAAGGCCCAUGGCUACAUUACAUAUAUCCCAGCUGUUCAGGCUAAGUUUUACCAUCACACAUUAGGACCUGAAAUAUCACUUAAGGGCCAUCUGAUUCUCCCCCAUCAAUGUGUGGUUUGGAGGGAAAUAAUGUCACCCUUCGUUUAGCUAUAGCUACACUGCCCAAAACUGAAGUGUAAACCAGGCUCCAGGAAGAAUGUGUUGCUGUACUAUGCUUGGUAUGUAGCCAGACUAGCUCCACUGCACCUCCCAUCAGCAGGGUUCAGAAGGAGAAAGUACUUCCUAUAUUCCUAUUUAAAUCUGCUGAGCUUGUAUACCUACAGCUAAAGUUUUCUAGUUACGUGGUCUAGAAGUAAACAUUGAGCCUUAGUUUCCAAGACACUAACUUUGAGAUCCAGCACCAAUACUUGGACUCUCACUUAACGAGGCUCUAGACAACUUUUGAGAGGCCCCACUGUGUCAAGCCUUCUAUUUUUUAACCUCAGGGUAUCAAUCAGUCCUGCCUCCCCAAGGAAGGCAGUUUUACAAGAAGGAACUUUGUGUGCUAAAGAGAAGGCAGAAAGCCUGCAAGAGGUAAGAAAGCUGUAGUAACUGUUUUAACCCAAUCAAUCUACUGUUUCCCUUUAACAAACUAAUUAGAUUGUCAAAGAUAAGGCAGGCAGUGGGCAUGAUGUGCUCUUCAGCAAGGUUUUUGACAUACCUUCUCCCCCCCACCUCCCAACAUUCUCACAAGCAAGCUGGAGAAAUGUUGUCUUGUUACAACUAAAUUAAGGAUUAACUAGAAUUAAAAGGGAUCUUGACAAAUUGAGAGAUUUAGACUAUAGCCAACAAAAAAAAUUCAGCAAAGAAAUUUAAAGAGCUACUCAUAAGCAGAACACACCAAAUGCACAUAUAGGGAUCUGCAAUAGAUUCUCAGCAGUUGAGAGUUAUGGUAGUUAUUGCAUGAGUCCGAUUAACAAAAACAUAGCAAUACACAUGACAGAUUGUGCCAGUGACUGGAAAGGAUCCAGAGGUGAGUUAAAGAUGAUCAAAGGCUGAAGGAACUGGUUAGGUGUAGUUUGGGAUAAAGGGCAGGGAGGGGCAUAACAUGACAGCAGUCUAUUACUUGAAAGGCUCCCAUAAAGAUUGAGAAGUUCUACCCUGGCAAGAGAUAAGAGGCAGCGAGUGGUUCAAACAGCACAGCAGAUUAAGAUUAAGUCAAAGGAAAAAUAUCCUAGUUGCAAGAACAGCAGGACACUGGAACAAAUUGCUUUAGGGAAGUUGUGGAAACUCACUGGGAAUCUUCAAAAUGGUGCUGGAUAGCAAUCUGUUUUCCCAAUUAAAACAUCUUUGAGCAUUGACAGAAUAGCUUUGCUUUUCCUCUUUUAGGUAAAGGCCCAUCUCUAAUAGUAUCCUGUGAAUGUCAAGUUAAGUUUUGUCUGUAUAUAGUGGGACACCUGUAACAAUUAUUGCUUAUUUCAGGCCCAGCUGUUAAUUCUAGAUCAAAUCUAGCACUCAAGAAAGACGACACAGUUGACUCAAUUGGCCAAGCAAGAUUACAUUCUGCAGCAAAGGAUCAUCAAGAUUAUUUGUUACUUACCUCACUGCAGUUGACAAGUAGCUGGGUCAAGUGAGCAAGCU
Non-coding RNA from Pelodiscus sinensis (Chinese soft-shelled turtle), 5857 nucleotides. NCBI's taxonomy places the organism in Eukaryota, Metazoa, Chordata, Testudines, Trionychidae. The record is from RefSeq and is a predicted model, not a curated record.